RNAcentral lists this ribosomal RNA (492 nucleotides) under uncultured bacterium. Its description in RNAcentral is "partial 16S ribosomal RNA". It matches the Rfam family "Bacterial small subunit ribosomal RNA", at positions 30 to 507 of the family's 1533-position model. The record is from RNAcentral.
AGUGAACGCUGGCGGUAGGCCUAACACAUGCAAGUCGAACGGCAGCACAGUAAGUGCUUGCUCUUACGGGUGCCGAGUGGCGGACGGGUGAGGAAUACAUCGGACUCUACUUUUUCGUGGGGGUUAACGUAGGGAAACUUACGCUAAUACCGCAUACUACCUACGGGUGAAUGCAGGGGAUCUUCGGACCUUUUGCGUUUGAUUGCGCCGAUGUGGGAUUAGCUUGUUGGCGGGGUAAAGGCCCACCAAGGCGACGAUCCGUAGCUGGUCUGAGAGGAUGAUCAGCGACACGGGAACGGAGACACGGACCAGACGCCUACGGGAGGCAGCAGAGGGGAAUAUGGGACAAAGGGGGGAAGCAUGAUCCAACGAUAGCGAGUGGGUGAAGAAGGCGUUCGGGUUGGAAAGCCGUUUUGUGGGGAAAGAAAAGCAGCAGGUAAAGACGAAGCUGAAGUGACGGUACCCAAAGAAUAAGCACCGGCUAACUACGUG